RNAcentral lists this small RNA (100 nucleotides) under Trypanosoma cruzi. Its description in RNAcentral is "spliced leader mini-exon transcript". The record is from RNAcentral. Lineage: Eukaryota; Euglenozoa; Kinetoplastea; Trypanosomatida; Trypanosomatidae.
AUUAUUGAUACAGUUUCUGUACUAUAUUGGUACGCGAAGCUUCCAACCCGCCUCUGGCGGUUAUGUUUGGUCAAUUCUUUUGACCGGGGUCUACGGACCC